This 433-nucleotide ribosomal RNA is filed under the name uncultured bacterium. Its description in RNAcentral is "partial 16S ribosomal RNA". It matches the Rfam family "Bacterial small subunit ribosomal RNA", at positions 29 to 507 of the family's 1533-position model. The record is from RNAcentral.
AACGAACGCUGGCGGCAUGCCUAACUCAUGCAAGUCGAACGAGACCUUCGGGUCUAGUGGCGCACGGGUGCGUAACGCGUGGGAACCUGCCCUUAGGUUCGGAAUAACUCCCCGAAAGGGGUGCUAAUACCGGAUAAUGUCUUCGGACCAAAGAUUUAUCGCCUUUGGAUGGGCCCGCGUUGGAUUAGCUAGUUGGUAGGGUAAAAGCCUACCAAGGCGACGAUCCAUAGCUGGUCUGAGAGGAUGAUCAGCCACACUGGGACUGAGACACGGCCCAGACUCCUACGGGAGGCAGCAGUGGGGAAUAUUGGACAAUGGGCGAAAGCCUGAUCCAGCAAUGCCGCGUGAGUGAUGAAGGCCUUAGGGUUGUAAAGCUCUUUUACCCGGGAUGAUAAUGACAGUACCGGGAGAAUAAGCGCCGGCUAACUCCGUG